AGGGUCUCCUGAAGGAACGUUAAAGACGAUGACGUUGAUAGGCCGGGUGUGUAAGCGCAGCGAUGCGUUGAGCUAACCGGUACUAAUGAACCGUGAGGCUUAACCUU
Molecule: ribosomal RNA, 107 nt
Filed under: Klebsiella pneumoniae
Lineage: Bacteria; Pseudomonadati; Pseudomonadota; Gammaproteobacteria; Enterobacterales; Enterobacteriaceae
Description: partial 23S ribosomal RNA
Rfam family: Bacterial large subunit ribosomal RNA
Source: RNAcentral